GAUGAAGAACGUAGCGAAAUGCGAUAAGUAAUGCGAAUUGCAGAAUUCAGUGAGUCAUCGAAUCUUUGAACGCACAUUGCGCCCUGUGGUAUUCCGCAGGGCAUGCCUGUUCGAGCGUCAUUUCAACCCUCAAGCUCUGCUUGGUGUUGGGCCCUGCCCGCUCGCGGCCGGCCCUAAAGACAGUGGCGGUGCCGUCUGGCUCUAAGCGUAGUACAUCUCUCGCUCUGGUGCCCGGCGGUGUCCUGCCAGAACCCCCCAACUCUGUGGUUGACCUCGGAUCAGGUAGGGAUACCCGCUGAACUUAAGCAUAUCCAAUAAGCGGAGGA
This 326-nucleotide unclassified non-coding RNA is filed under the name soil metagenome. RNAcentral describes it as "partial contains 5.8S ribosomal RNA, internal transcribed spacer 2, and large subunit ribosomal RNA". The stretch from base 1 to 120 matches the Rfam family "5.8S ribosomal RNA", at positions 35 to 154 of the family's 154-position model. The record is from RNAcentral.